UAAGGGAAUGGUAUAUACACUCUAAAAAACGCUGGGUUGGUUUUUUAACCCAAAUGCUGGGUUGAGACUGCUGGGUAACAAAAUUGGGUUGAUUCAACCCAAUUUGGGUUGAAAAUCGAUCUUUAUCUAUAACCCAGCAGUGCUGGGUUGGGAACGCGGACGUGAAAGAGAGCACGCACGUCACGUAAACAUGCAGGGACAUCAACGUGAGAAACCGCCAUUUUCUUUGAGCUGUCUUUGAGGGGAAGCGAGUGAAAUUCUGUGUGAGACGUAAGUUAUUUAGUGUGUAUUUAACAAUUUUCAUAAGAAAUAACACACUUAGUUUACUUAGUAUAAUAUACACGCGCUUUUUUUCUGUUUCUCCGCCUGAUGGCCGACUUGUUGCUCCGCCUCACGCUGACCUGUGCUCGCCUUAUGGCUGAACCGUUGCUCCGAGUCCGCCUGACGAGCCACCUGUUUCUCCGGAUCUGUUUCUCCGCCUAACGGCGACCUGUUUCUCCGGACCUGUUUCUCCGGACCUGUUUCUCCGCCUAACGGCGACCUGUUUCUCCGGACCUGUUUCUCCUAACGCCCGAGCUGUUGCUCCGCCUAACGCCUGACCUGUGCUCGCCUCACGCCCGACCUGUUGCUCCGCCUCACGCCCAGCCUGUUGAUCGGUGGACGGGUAAGCGCGCAUGGCAUCGGAAGGAGCUCGAAAAGUAUAAGAUGAUGACAGUAAGUAACGUUACUGUGAUUUGUGAUCUUUCUGGGGUGUUAACUGUAAAGCAAUGGAUAAUUGCGUGAAAAUCAAACUUAAAGAAUGCAAUCUUGAGGAGUUAAUCCCCACAUUUGAAGCACAGGAGCGAACCUUUCCUCGUUUUUAGGUCAAUUUGAAUACAAUUCAGAGGGGUGGCAUGGGGGUGCAGUGGGUAGUGCUGUCGCCUCACAGCAAGAUGGUCGCUGGUUUGAGCCUUGGAUGGGUUUCCCCUCCACAGUCCAAUGACAUGCGGUGUAGCUGAAUUGGAUUGGGACCAAUAUUGCUGAGUAUCUUCAUCCAUUGAAUUCAAGAAUCUAUUGAGUUUCCUCAUGUUCUCAUCCUUGGAGACCACCACUUCUUUCAAGCCUUUGCUCACGUGCUGUGCUAUUUAUUAUUGCAAAGUACAUUACUUGCCAAAGUGAACGUUUGCUAUAAAGCAUUCUACAUCUUUGGUGUGAACUACCCCAAGCAGUGUUCCCUGGUGUGGCAGACUGUGGUUUAUGGACAUCCUGGGGAGGAGACACUAGCAGUAAGGGUUCUGCUAGCAUUAAUUUUUGCUGACAAACAGUAAUCAUUAAUACUGUGACCUCACUGCUUCCUUGGAUUCUGUGUUCUUUAACUUGUACUUUGGAUUGUGGGGGAAAAGGAGCACCCAGAGAAAACCCACACGAACACGGGGAAAACAUGCAAACUCCACACAGAAACACCAACUGACCCAGCUGAGGCUUAAACCACCGACCUUGUUGCUGUGAGGCAAUCGUACUACCCACUGUGCCACCAUGACACCCAUUUCUAAAGAAUAGUUUUAAUAACUCAUUUCUAAUAACUGAUUUCUUUUCUCUUUGCUAUGAUGACGGCACAUAAUAAUGGACUAGAUAUUUUUUUAAGACACUCUACACUGCAGUUACAUUGCAACUAAUGUUUCUUACAGACUCUUUUAUAUCUCAGGAUUGAUGUUUGCACAUGAUUGUUCGAGUAAAAGUUAAAAAAAGUUUUCCUAUUUCAAAUUUGUUUUAAAAUGCUUCCAUCCUCAGGUUUCAUUUUAACUUUUAUAUCUGUUUUUUCUUCAAAACUGCAUUUACAUUGAACUUGAUCAUCCUUACUGAUGAUUGCUUUAUAGCUCAUAUAUUGAUGUUUGCACAUAAUUGUUAAAGGGAAAGUUAUAAAAUGUUUUCUUAUUUUUUCUUAAUAUAAAAUUUGUAUUUUCUUAGUUUUUAUUGUUUGUUUUGUUUUUUCAAGCUGUUUGAUGCCUUUUCAUUAUUACUUUCACAUAUUUUUUUCUGCAUUGCAGUUGAUGAUUUAUAUGAGAAUAUGUUGAUGUUUGUGCUCAAAUUACUUUCUGACUUCAGUCAUUUAGAUGCAUUUUCAUUAUUACUUCCUUAUACUAUUGUUUUUUCUACUCUGCAAUAACAUUGCAAUUGCCUUACUGAUGAUUCCUGAUUUAUAAAUGAUGCAAAUGUUUUUGAAUGUAUUUCAAAUAUGCAUUUUCUUAAGGUAAUUUGUCUGAUUUCAGUCUGAUGCAUUGUUACUGAACUUUAGUCAGUGUUUCUGUGAUACAGUUUGAUAAAUUUUCACAGAAAUCGUCUUAACAACCCUUUCAAAAAAAAAAUUGGAUUGCAUUUCUCAACUGCUAAUGUCGCUAUUGAACACAAUCAGUACAUUUUAACACAUAUUAUAAUUUCUAAAAUAUCAACCUCUACCAAAUGAUUGAUAUGUAUGUUUAUGGUAAAAGUACCAGAAUUAUGAAAAAUCUGAAAAAUUAUGUGUAAGACCAAUAAAAAAAAAAA
RNAcentral lists this long non-coding RNA (2523 nucleotides) under Danio rerio (zebrafish). Its description in RNAcentral is "lncRNA si:ch211-51n3.1 (ENSDARG00000094135.3)". Lineage: Eukaryota; Metazoa; Chordata; Actinopteri; Cypriniformes; Danionidae. The record is from RNAcentral.